Gordionus sp. m RMFG-2023 is the source of this 263-nucleotide long non-coding RNA. RefSeq lists it as uncharacterized. Lineage: Eukaryota; Metazoa; Nematomorpha; Gordioida; Chordodea; Parachordodidae. The transcript has 3 exons. The record is from RefSeq and is a predicted model, not a curated record.
GUGUGAUUUAAAAUCGAUUCAAACGCACCUACUUUCGGACUUGAAAUUCCUCGGCACUUAUUCGAACGAGGCGGAAACGGAAAACGAUAAUAGUUUGCAGAUAUUAAAAUUGUUCACAAAGUUUUGCCUUCUAUUCGAUGUGUUGACGUAUCCCGAAGUUCUAGCGUUGUUCGAUACCCAGUCCCUGCAGGAAUUGAAUAACGAAGUUUUAUCGAUACUGCGCCAUUUCGUUUUCGCUACGGAACCUGGGUAUUUUGUCAAGC